GAGUUUGAUCNUGGCUCAGAUUGAACGCUGGCGGCAUGCCUUACACAUGCAAGUCGAACGGCAGCACGGACUUCGGUCUGGUGGCGAGUGGCGAACGGGUGAGUAAUGUAUNGGAACGNNCCUUUCAGUGGGGGAUAACGUAGCGAAAGUUACGCUAAUACCGCAUAUUCUGUGAGCAGGAAAGCAGGGGAUCGCAAGACCUUGCGCUGAUUGAGCGGCCGAUAUCAGAUNAGCUAGUUGGUGGGGUAAAAGCUCACCAAGGCGACGAUCUGUAGCGGGUCUGAGAGGAUGAUCCGCCACACUGGAANUGAGACACGGUCCAGACUCCUACGGGAGGCAGCAGA
Molecule: ribosomal RNA, 344 nt
Filed under: uncultured bacterium
Lineage: Bacteria
Description: bacterial SSU rRNA
Rfam family: Bacterial small subunit ribosomal RNA
Source: RNAcentral